Molecule: long non-coding RNA, 1760 nt
Organism: Mesocricetus auratus (golden hamster)
Lineage: Eukaryota; Metazoa; Chordata; Mammalia; Rodentia; Cricetidae
Exons: 3
Source: RefSeq, a predicted model, not a curated record
UACAACCACCUCAACUAAAGAUUGAGCCUGGUCUUAGACUCCUUUCAUAGCAAUUACAAAUCUCCACACAUUUGGGGUCCACUUGAUUUCCUCAAGUUAAUGAUGCUAUUGUAGACUUAGGAUCACUAGAAUUGUGAAUGAGUUCUAGAAUUCCAAGACCAGAGUCACUCUAGGGAGAGUACCAAAGUAUCAGGAUAUCUUGGUUAGGAGAACUCUGAGAAAAUUAGGUCUAUGGCUAGUCCUAUUCUCUUCCUCUGGCUCAAUGUAGGUACCACUUUCUCAUUUGACGGACUCUGAUGACUUAUGGCUAGAAGAUCUUCCUUCUCUAGGCUGGGAUUGUUUAUUUCAAUUGUCAACUUGAUUAGAUUAAGAAACACAUAGGGCUUCAAUGAAUUAGCCUUUGGGUAUAUCCAUGAGGAUGUUUCCAGAGAGGAAAUAGGGAAGGCACAACUAGAAUGUGAUGUCACCACCUCAUGGGAUAGCCUCCUAGACUACAGGAAAAGUGGAGAAGCUGAGAACUAGGCAAUCCAUUAUCUGCUUCCUGGUAAGUGCCAGGGUCUAAGCUGGUCGUGCAAUCAUACCAUCUCUCCUGUGCUGGUAUUCUGUUCCUUUGAAUUUCCACCCCAAAUAAAUCCUCUAUGACAUUUUUCGUCUAGUAUUUAGGCAUGUUUAUAAGAAAAGUGACUGAUAUAGAUGUCCACCAUCCCUCCUUGGUUCUUUUAAUUACCUCUUUCUCAUGUGUGUUAGUAACUGAAAUCCUCUCAUUCAACUAUGUCUUCAGGGAUAUCAUCUAGUAAACUCAGAGCCCUUUUGCAGCAGACAAAGGUACUCAUUUUCAAAAGUCUUUGACCAAAAAAGAAAAUGAUGAGACUGCUAGGUGUUUAGCUUUUCAAAGGUAAAGGUUCUUUCUGAACUAGCACUUUAAAAUACUUUUUCUUUACAUUUAAAAAUUAUACUUAUUUAUUUGCUUUAUGUGUGUACGUACUUACCUGGAUGUGUUUAUGUGCACCACAGACAUCCAGGAGCCUACAAAGGCCGGAAAGCAAAAGACCCCCUCGAAUUGGAGUUACAGGCAGUGGUGAGCCACCACGCAGAAGCUGGGAAUGGAACCCAAGUCCUCUGAAAGAGCUCUUUACUGUUGAGCCAUCUUCAUAUCCCCUCUCUCCAGGUCACCUGUAUUCACACUGAAGUUAUUAUAGCACUGGUGGAGGGCCUGAAUUAUAGAAGAUGCAGAUCACCUUAACUGCUCUGCAAUUACAUUGCAUUGAUUUUGUUUCCACAGGGGCCAGUGUCUGAUCCCAAUGAGUAAUCCCACCUUGGAUCUAUUCACCUGCAUUGCUUUCCCAGCUUUAUGCAACAGCACUUUCUCUGAUAUCCAGGUCACCAAGGAGGAACCCAGCUUUUGCAGGAGUCACUUGCCUCACCCCAGCUAAAAGUCAGGACCUCAAAUUGGCAAAUCCUUUGUGUUUCCAAGCAUAAAGAAUGCUUCCUUUCAUUUACUGAACCCAGGGAUUGAUUCUUUUACUCCUUCCACUUGAACGAAACAUGUCUAUAAGGACAACACCUGUCCCACUUUCUCAGAAAGGAGGCUGAGCUCAAACUGCUGGUUUACAAACACCUUGAAGAAUAAAGGUGGGCUGUUGAGAAUAGCUUGCACAUGUCUCAGAUGGAGAAGUGUGGAAAUCUAUUGGAGGGGAACAUUUUGUGAGAGUCUUCAUCCAGUAGCUGAAGGAAGCAGAAGCAGACACCCACAGCUGAGC